This 1073-nucleotide ribosomal RNA is filed under the name marine metagenome. RNAcentral describes it as "bacterial SSU rRNA". It matches the Rfam family "Bacterial small subunit ribosomal RNA", at positions 448 to 1520 of the family's 1533-position model. The record is from RNAcentral.
AGUAUUGUUAAUACCAAUACUCCGUGACAUUACUUACAGAAUAAGGACCGGCUAAUUCCGUGCCAGCAGCCGCGGUAAUACGGAAGGUCCAAGCGUUAAUCGGAAUUACUGGGCGUAAAGCGCGCGUAGGUGGUUUAUUAAGUUGGGUGUGAAAGCCCCGGGCUCAACCUGGGAACUGCAUCCAAAACUGAUUCACUAGAGUACGAAAGAGGAAAGUAGAAUUCACAGUGUAGCGGUGGAAUGCGUAGAUAUUGUGAAGAAUACCGAUGGCGAAGGCAGCUUUCUGGUUCUGUACUGACACUGAGGUGCGAAAGCGUGGGUAGCGAACAGGAUUAGAUACCCUGGUAGUCCACGCCGUAAACGAUGACAACUAGCUGUUGGGAAGCUAUGCUUUUCAGUGGCGCAGCUAACGUCUUAAGUUGUCCGCCUGGGGAGUACGGCCGCAAGGUUAAAACUCAAAUGAAUUGACGGGGACCCGCACAAGCGGUGGAGCAUGUGGUUUAAUUCGAUGCAACGCGAAAAACCUUACCUACACUUGACAUACUUGGAAUCUUUUGUAAUGAAAGAGUGCCUUUUGGAGCCAAGAUACAGGUGCUGCAUGGCUGUCGUCAGCUCGUGUCGUGAGAUGUUGGGUUAAGUCCCAUAACGAGCGCAACCCUUACCCUUAUUUGCCAGCGAUUCGGUCGGGAACUAUAAGGGGACUGCCGGUGAUAAACCGGAGGAAGGUGAGGACGACGUCAAGUCAUCAUGGCCCUUACGUGUAGGGCUACACACGUGCUACAAUGGGGAGUACAGAUAGACGCUAAAGCGCGAGCUGGUGCUAAUCUCAUAAAACUCUUCGUAGUCCGGAUUGCAGUCUGCAACUCGACUGCAUGAAGUCGGAAUCGCUAGUAAUCGCGAAUCAGCAUGUCGCGGUGAAUACGUUCUCGGGUCUUGUACACACCGCCCGUCACACCAUGGGAGUGUAUUGCACCAGAAGUGGGUAGUCUAACCUUCGGGAGGGCGCUCACCACGGUGUGGUCCAUGACUGGGGUGAAGUCGUAACAAGGUAGCCGUAGGGGAACCUGUGGCUG